AGCGUACACGGUGGAUGCCCUGGCAGUCAGAGGCGAUGAAGGACGUGCUAAUCUGCGAUAAGCGCCGGUAAGGUGAUAUGAACCGUUAUAACCGGCGAUACCCGAAUGGGGAAACCCAGUGUGAUUCGUCACACUAUCAUUAACUGAAUCCAUAGGUUAAUGAGGCGAACCGGGGGAACUGAAACAUCUAAGUACCCCGAGGAAAAGAAAUCAACCGAGAUUCCCCCAGUAGCGGCGAGCGAACGGGGAGGAGCCCAGAGCCUGAAUCAGCAUGUGUGUUAGUGGAAGCGUCUGGAAAGGCGCGCGAUACAGGGUGACAGCCCCGUACACAAAAGCGCAUGUGCUGUGAGCUCGAUGAGUAGGGCGGGACACGUGGUAUCCUGUCUGAAUAUGGGGGGACCAUCCUCCAAGGCUAAAUACUCCUGACUGACCGAUAGUGAACCAGUACCGUGAGGGAAAGGCGAAAAGAACCCCGGCGAGGGGAGUGAAAAAGAACCUGAAACCGUGUACGUACAAGCAGUGGGAGCACAGGUUUACCUGUGUGACUGCGUACCUUUUGUAUAAUGGGUCAGCGACUUAUAUUCUGUAGCAAGGUUAACCGAAUAGGGGAGCCGGAGGGAAACCGAGUCUUAAUUGGGCGUUAAGUUGCAGGGUAUAGACCCGAAACCCGGUGAUCUAGCCAUGGGCAGGUUGAAGGUUGGGUAACACUAACUGGAGGACCGAACCGACUAAUGUUGAAAAAUUAGCGGAUGACCUGUGGCUGGGGGUGAAAGGCCAAUCAAACCGGGAGAUAGCUGGUUCUCCCCGAAAGCUAUUUAGGUAGCGCCUCGUGAAUUCAUCUCCGGGGGUAGAGCACUGUUUCGGCUAGGGGGCCAUCCCGGCUUACCAACCCGAUGCAAACUGCGAAUACCGGAGAAUGUUAUCACGGGAGACACACGGCGGGUGCUAACGUCCGUCGUGAAGAGGGAAACAACCCAGACCGCCAGCUAAGGUCCCAAAGUCAUGGUUAAGUGGGAAACGAUGUGGGAAGGCCCAGACAGCCAGGAUGUUGGCUUAGAAGCAGCCAUCAUUUAAAGAAAGCGUAAUAGCUCACUGGUCGAGUCGGCCUGCGCGGAAGAUGUAACGGGGCUAAACCAUGCACCGAAGCUGCGGCAGCGAACGUAUCACUUAAAGCGAUUCAGCGGGUUACGAUUGACGGAGCGAAGCGACGUCAAAGCGUAUACAAAGUCGAGUCGGUUUAAGGAUACGUUCGUUGGGUAGGGGAGCGUUCUGUAAGCCUGUGAAGGUGGCCUGUGAGGGUUGCUGGAGGUAUCAGAAGUGCGAAUGCUGACAUAAGUAACGAUAAAGCGGGUGAAAAGCCCGCUCGCCGGAAGACCAAGGGUUCCUGUCCAACGUUAAUCGGGGCAGGGUGAGUCGACCCCUAAGGCGAGGCCGAAAGGCGUAGUCGAUGGGAAACGGGUUAAUAUUCCCGUACUUGGUGUUACUGCGAAGGGGGGACGGAGAAGGCUAUGUUGGCCGGGCGACGGUUGUCCCGGUUUAAGCGUGUAGGUGUGUGUUCCAGGUAAAUCCGGUUCACUUUAACACUGAGGCGUGACGACGAGGCACUACGGUGCUGAAGCAACAAAUGCCCUGCUUCCAGGAAAAGCCUCUAAGCAUCAGGUAACAUCAAAUCGUACCCCAAACCGACACAGGUGGUCAGGUAGAGAAUACCAAGGCGCUUGAGAGAACUCGGGUGAAGGAACUAGGCAAAAUGGUGCCGUAACUUCGGGAGAAGGCACGCUGACACGUAGGUGAAGUGAUUUACUCAUGGAGCUGAAGUCAGUCGAAGAUACCAGCUGGCUGCAACUGUUUAUUAAAAACACAGCACUGUGCAAACACGAAAGUGGACGUAUACGGUGUGACGCCUGCCCGGUGCCGGAAGGUUAAUUGAUGGGGUCAGCGCAAGCGAAGCUCCUGAUCGAAGCCCCGGUAAACGGCGGCCGUAACUAUAACGGUCCUAAGGUAGCGAAAUUCCUUGUCGGGUAAGUUCCGACCUGCACGAAUGGCGUAAUGAUGGCCAGGCUGUCUCCACCCGAGACUCAGUGAAAUUGAACUCGCUGUGAAGAUGCAGUGUACCCGCGGCAAGACGGAAAGACCCCGUGAACCUUUACUAUAGCUUGACACUGAACAUUGAGCCUUGAUGUGUAGGAUAGGUGGGAGGCUUUGAAGCGUGGACGCCAGUCUGCGUGGAGCCGACCUUGAAAUACCACCCUUUAAUGUUUGAUGUUCUAACGUGGACCCGUAAUCCGGGUUGCGGACAGUGUCUGGUGGGUAGUUUGACUGGGGCGGUCUCCUCCUAAAGAGUAACGGAGGAGCACGAAGGUUGGCUAAUCCUGGUCGGACAUCAGGAGGUUAGUGCAAUGGCAUAAGCCAGCUUGACUGCGAGCGUGACGGCGCGAGCAGGUGCGAAAGCAGGUCAUAGUGAUCCGGUGGUUCUGAAUGGAAGGGCCAUCGCUCAACGGAUAAAAGGUACUCCGGGGAUAACAGGCUGAUACCGCCCAAGAGUUCAUAUCGACGGCGGUGUUUGGCACCUCGAUGUCGGCUCAUCACAUCCUGGGGCUGAAGUAGGUCCCAAGGGUAUGGCUGUUCGCCAUUUAAAGUGGUACGCGAGCUGGGUUUAGAACGUCGUGAGACAGUUCGGUCCCUAUCUGCCGUGGGCGCUGGAGAACUGAGGGGGGCUGCUCCUAGUACGAGAGGACCGGAGUGGACGCAUCACUGGUGUUCGGGUUGUCAUGCCAAUGGCACUGCCCGGUAGCUAAAUGCGGAAGAGAUAAGUGCUGAAAGCAUCUAAGCACGAAACUUGCCCCGAGAUGAGUUCU
Molecule: ribosomal RNA, 2858 nt
Filed under: Salmonella enterica subsp. enterica serovar Muenchen
Lineage: Bacteria; Pseudomonadati; Pseudomonadota; Gammaproteobacteria; Enterobacterales; Enterobacteriaceae
Description: bacterial LSU rRNA
Rfam family: Bacterial large subunit ribosomal RNA
Source: RNAcentral